GAACGCUUUUUCUUUCACCGGAGCUUGCUCCACCGAAAGAAAAGGAGUGGCGAACGGGUGAGUAACACGUGGGUAACCUGCCCAUCAGAAGGGGAUAACACUUGGAAACAGGUGCUAAUACCGUAUAACAAUCGAAACCGCAUGGUUUCGGUUUGAAAGGCGCUUUUGCGUCACUGAUGGAUGGACCCGCGGUGCAUUAGCUAGUUGGUGAGGUAACGGCUCACCAAGGCAACGAUGCAUAGCCGACCUGAGAGGGUGAUCGGCCACAUUGGGACUGAGACACGGCCCAAACUCCUACGGGAGGCAGCAGUAGGGAAUCUUCGGCAAUGGACGGAAGUCUGACCGAGCAACGCCGCGUGAGUGAAGAAGGUUUUCGGAUCGUAAAACUCUGUUGUUAGAGAAGAACAAGGAUGAGAGUAGAAUGUUCAUCCCUUGACGGUAUCUAACCAGAAAGCCACGGCUAACUACGUGCCAGCAGCCGCGGUAAUACGUAGGUGGCAAGCGUUGUCCGGAUUUAUUGGGCGUAAAGCGAGCGCAGGCGGUUUCUUAAGUCUGAUGUGAAAGCCCCCGGCUCAACCGGGGAGGGUCAUUGGAAACUGGGAAACUUGAGUGCAGAAGAGGAGAGUGGAAUUCCAUGUGUAGCGGUGAAAUGCGUAGAUAUAUGGAGGAACACCAGUGGCGAAGGCGGCUCUCUGGUCUGUAACUGACGCUGAGGCUCGA
Molecule: ribosomal RNA, 720 nt
Filed under: uncultured Bacilli bacterium
Lineage: Bacteria; Bacillati; Bacillota; Bacilli
Description: bacterial SSU rRNA
Rfam family: Bacterial small subunit ribosomal RNA
Source: RNAcentral